RNAcentral lists this long non-coding RNA (273 nucleotides) under Lathyrus oleraceus (garden pea). RNAcentral describes it as "Pisum sativum (pea) long non-coding RNA (PSAT_LNC023809)". The record is from RNAcentral. Lineage: Eukaryota; Viridiplantae; Streptophyta; Magnoliopsida; Fabales; Fabaceae.
UUUGUUAUUAUGUUUUCUGGUCUGUGACCAAGAUAUUUUUCACCCUUAGGUGCCCCAUUGUGUGGGAUCUUGCACUUUAUAAAUAUGGUUUUAUCUGUUUUUAGUUAGAUGCUCACUUUUAUCCUUAGACAUAUUUCGCUACAAAGAAAAGUUGUCUUUGGAUAAAUCUCUACAAAGAUUAAGAAAUUUUUUCUUUGUCUAUGAAAUUAUUACGAGUGAUCUACGUACCAUAUUUUAAGGGUGUAAUUCUAGAACGAUAUACUUACAUUGCAC